UGGGGAAUUUUGGACAAUGGGGGAAACCCUGAUCCAGCCAUCCCGCGUGUGCGAUGAAGGCCUUCGGGUUGUAAAGCACUUUUGGCAGGAAAGAAACGUCAUGGGUUAAUACCCCGUGAAACUGACGGUACCUGCAGAAUAAGCACCGGCUAACUACGUGCCAGCAGCCGCGGUAAUACGUAGGGUGCAAGCGUUAAUCGGAAUUACUGGGCGUAAAGCGUGCGCAGGCGGUUCGGAAAGAAAGAUGUGAAAUCCCAGAGCUCAACUUUGGAACUGCAUUUUUAACUACCGGGCUUGAGUGUGUCAGAGGGAGGUGGAAUUCCGCGUGUAGCAGUGAAAUGCGUAGAUAUGCGGAGGAACACCGAUGGCGAAGGCAGCCUCCUGGGAUAACACUGACGCUCAUGCACGAAAGCGUGGGGAGCAAACAGG
Molecule: ribosomal RNA, 429 nt
Filed under: Acidobacteriota bacterium
Lineage: Bacteria; Pseudomonadati; Acidobacteriota
Description: Acidobacteria bacterium partial 16S ribosomal RNA
Rfam family: Bacterial small subunit ribosomal RNA
Source: RNAcentral